This 140-nucleotide ribosomal RNA is filed under the name uncultured bacterium. RNAcentral's name for it is "partial 16S ribosomal RNA". It matches the Rfam family "Bacterial small subunit ribosomal RNA", at positions 355 to 507 of the family's 1533-position model. The record is from RNAcentral.
UAGGGAAUAUUGGGCAAUGGGCGGAAGCCUGACCCAGCGACGCCGCGUGAGGGAUGAAGGUCUUCGGAUUGUAAACCUCUUUCAGUAGGGAAGAAGCGAAAGUGACGGUACCUAAAGAAGAAGCACCGGCUAACUAUGUG